This 497-nucleotide ribosomal RNA is filed under the name uncultured bacterium. Its description in RNAcentral is "partial 16S ribosomal RNA". It matches the Rfam family "Bacterial small subunit ribosomal RNA", at positions 28 to 507 of the family's 1533-position model. The record is from RNAcentral.
GAUGAACGCUGGCGGCGUGCCUAAUACAUGCAAGUCGAGCGAACAGACGAGGAGCUUGCUCCUCUGACGUUAGCGGCGGACGGGUGAGUAACACGUGGAUAACCUACCUAUAAGACUGGGAUAACUUCGGGAAACCGGAGCUAAUACCGGAUAAUAUAUUGAACCGCAUGGUUCAAUAGUGAAAGACGGUUUUGCUGUCACUUAUAGAUGGAUCCGCGCCGCAUUAGCUAGUUGGUAAGGUAACGGCUUACCAAGGCAACGAUGCGUAGCCGACCUGAGAGGGUGAUCGGCCACACUGGAACUGAGACACGGUCCAGACUCCUACGGGAGGCAGCAGUAGGGAAUCUUCCGCAAUGGGCGAAAGCCUGACGGAGCAACGCCGCGUGAGUGAUGAAGGUCUUCGGAUCGUAAAGCUCUGUUAUUAGGGAAGAAAAAAUGUGGAAGUAACUAUGCACGUCUUGACGGUACCUAAUCAGAAAGCCACGGCUAACUACGUG